AUUCUACCACUGCGAGGCCCAUGGCAGCUCUCUGGGUCCCUAUUGACGCUGGGGUGUGAAAGUAUGGGGGAGCGAACGGGAUUAGAUACCUUGGUAGUCCAUGCCGUAAACGAUGAGUGUUCGCCCAGCUAACAUGUAAAACACUCCGCUUGGGGAGUACGGUCACAAGAACGAAAUCAAAGAAAUUGAUGGUGGCCUGUACAAGCGGUGGUCGUAUGUCACAUAGCUCUCUCCAA
This 236-nucleotide ribosomal RNA is filed under the name Olea europaea subsp. europaea. RNAcentral describes it as "SSU_rRNA_archaea". It matches the Rfam family "Bacterial small subunit ribosomal RNA", at positions 700 to 959 of the family's 1533-position model. The record is from RNAcentral. Lineage: Eukaryota; Viridiplantae; Streptophyta; Magnoliopsida; Lamiales; Oleaceae.